AAAAAAUUUGGGAAAUUUUGUGACUACCAAAAGUGCUCUGUGCAGAAAUGAGAUGCAGUGCAAAGGACCAAAAGAGGACAAAACAAUCCUCACAGCUGAUGGAAAAGCCAGGAAAAAAUCAAGGAGGCAGACACAACUUGGUGGGGAAGAUAUGGGAGAAGUGGAAAGGAUACUUAAAAAGAAAAAAAGAAAAAAAGAAAAUGUUCUUCAAAGUGAAACCCAUCGUAAGGCAUGGCAUGCCAUCAAGUGCAGGGACUUGCACCAAAGCUUGCCCAAUUGAUCCCCAUUGAAAUCGCAAGAUUUCGUUUCCCUUCCCGAAAGGAAAUUUCAUUUCCUUUCGGGAAGGGAAACGAAAUCUUGCGCCCAUGAAAAGAAAGACUUACAAACACUCUGGAAAGGAGAUAUGAUCAAAAGAAAUGCAAUUGAAAAAAACCCCCCAAAAAUGGAAAAUUGGGAGAUUUUGUGACUACAAGAAAGUGGUCUGGCUGGAAAUGAGGUGCAGUGCAAAGGACCAAAAGGGACUUAAACUAACCUCACAGCUGAUGGAAAAGCCAGGAAAAAAUCAAGGAGGCAGACACAACUUGGAGGGGAAGAUGUGGGAGAAAUGGAAAUGAUACUUUAAAAAAAAAAAAAAAAAAAUCACCAAAGUGCAAGCCAUCAAAAGGCAUGGCAUUCUAUCCAGUGCAGGGAGGUGCACGACGUAGACCAAGGCUUGCCAAAAAACAUCCCUGCUGAAGGCCAAAAAAGAAAAGAAGGGCAUACAAACAUUCUGGACUACAAAUAUCUUUAAAUGAAAUGGAUGUGAAGGAAAAAAAAAAAUUUGGGAAAUUUUGUGACUACAAAAAUUGCUCUGUGCAGAAAUGAGAUGCUGUGCAAAGGACCAAAAGAGGCCAAAACAAUCCUCACAGCUGAUGGAAAAGCCAGGAAAAAAUCAAGGAGGCAGACACAACUUGGUGGGGAAGAUAUGGGAGAAGUGGAAAGGAUACUUAAAAAGAAAAAAAAGGAAAAAAAAGAAAAUGUUCUUCAAAGUGAAACCCAUCGUAAGGCAUGGCAUGCCAUCAAGUGCAGGGACUUGCACCAAAGCUUGCCCAAUUGAUCCCCAUUGAAAUCGCAAGAUUUCGUUUCCCUUCCCGAAAGGAAAUUUCAUUUCCUUUCGGGAAGGGAAACGAAAUCUUGCGCCCCUGAAAAGAAAGACUUACAAACACUCUGGAAAGGAGAUAUGAUCAAAAGAAAUGCAAUUGAAAAAAACCCCCCAAAAAUGGAAAAUUGGGAGAUUUUGUGACUACAAGAAAGUGGUCUGGCUGGAAAUGAGGUGCAGUGCAAAGGACCAAAAGGGACUUAAACUAACCUCACAGCUGAUGGAAAAGCCAGGAAAAAAUCAAGGAGGCAGACACAACUUGGAGGGGAAGAUGUGGGAGAAAUGGAAAUGAUACUUUAAAAAAAAAAAAAAAAAUCACCAAAGUGCAAGACAUCAAAAGGCAUGGCAUUCUAUCCAGUGCAGGGAGGUGCACGACAUAGACCAAGGCUUGCCAAAACACAUCCCUGCUGAAGGCCAAAAAAGAAAAGAAGGGCAUACAAACAUUCUGGACUACAGAUAUCCUCAAAGGAAAUGAAUUUGAAGGAGAAAAAAAAAAAAUUUGGGAAAUUUUGUGACUACAAAAAGUGCUCUGUGCAGAAAUGAGAUGCAGUGCAAAGGACCAAAGGAGGCCAAAACAAUCUUCUCAGCUGUUGCAAAAGAAAGGAAAAAGUCAAGGGGGCAGACAAAACUUGGAGUGGAACAUAUGAGAGAAAUGGAAAUGAUACUUAAAAAAAAAAAAAAAAUCCACCAAAGUGCAAGCCAUCAAAAGGCAUGGCAUUCUAUCCAGUGCAGGGACAUGCUUGAUAUACAGCAAGGCUUGCCAAAAGACAUCCCUGCUGAAGGCCAAAAAAGAAAAGAAGGGCAUACAAACAUUCUGGACUACAAAUAUCUUUAAAUGAAAUGGAUGUGAAGGAAAAAAAAAAUUUUGGGAAAUUUUGUGACUACAAAAAUUGCUCUGUGCAGAAAUGAGAUGCUGUGCAAAGGACCAAAAGAGGCCAAAACAAUCCUCACAGCUGAUGCAAAAGCCAGGAAAAAAUCAAGGAGGCAGACACAACUUGGAGGGGAAGAUAUGAGAGAAAUGGAAAUGAUACUUUAAAAAAAAAAAAAAAUCACCAAAGUGCAAGCCAUCAAAAGGCAUGGCAUUCUAUCCAGUGCAGGGACAUGCUUGAUAUACAGCAAGGCUUGCCAAAAGACAUCCCUGCUGAAGGCCAAAAAAGAAAAGAAGGGCAUACAAACAUUCUGGACUACAAAUAUCUUUAAAUGAAAUGGAUGUGAAGGAAAAAAAAAAAUUUGGGAAAUUUUGUGACUAAAAGAAAGUGGUCUGGAUGGAAAUGAGGUGCAGUGCAAAGGACCAAAAGAGGCCAAAACAAUCUUCUCAGCUGUUGCAAAAGCUAGUAAAAAAUCAAGGAGGCAGACACAACUUGGAGGGGAAGAUAUGAGAGAAAUGGAAAUGAUACUUUAAAAAAAAAAAAAAAAAAAAUCACCAAAGUGCAAGCCAUCAAAAGGCAUGGCAUUCUAUCCAGUGCAGGGAGGUGCACGACGUAGACCAAGGCUUGCCAAAACACAUCCCUGCUGAAGGCCAAAAAAGAAAAGAAGGGCAUACAAACAUUCUGGACUACAGAUAUCCUCAAAGGAAAUGAAUUUGAAGGAGAAAAAAAAAAAAUUUGGGAAAUUUUGUGACUACAAAAAUUGCUCUGUGCAGAAAUGAGAUGCAGUGCAAAGGACCAAAAGAGGCCAAAACAAUCCUCACAGCUGAUGCAAAAGCCAGGAAAAAAUCAAGGAGGCAGACACAACUUGGAGGGGAAGAUAUGAGAAAAAUGGAAAUGAUACUUUAAAAAAAAAAAAAAAUCAUCAAAGUGCAAGCCAUCAAAAGGCAUGGCAUUCUAUCCAGUGCAGGGACAUGCUUGAUAUACACCAAGGCUUGCCAAAAGACAUCCCUGCUGAAGGCCAAAAAAGAAAAGAAGGGCAUACAAACAUUCUGGACUACAAAUAUCUUUAAAUGAAAUGGAUGUGAAGGAAAAAAAAAAUAAAUUUGGGAAAUUUUGUGACUACCAAAAGUGCUCUGUGCAGAAAUGAGAUGCUGUGCAAAGGACCAAAAGAGGCCAAAACAAUCCUCACAGCUGAUGGAAAAGCCAGGAAAUAUCAAGGAGGCAGACAGAACUUGGUGGGGAAGAUAUGGGAGAAGUGGAAAGGAUACUUAAAAAGAAAAAAAAGAAAAAAAAGAAAAUGUUCUUCAAAGUGAAACCCAUCGUAAGGCAUGGCAUGCCAUCAAGUGCAGGGACUUGCACCAAAGCUUGCCCAAUUGAUCCCCAUUGAAAUCGCAAGAUUUCGUUUCCCUUCCCGAAAGGAAAUUUCAUUUCCUUUCGGGAAGGGAAACGAAAUCUUGCGCCCCUGAAAAGAAAGACUUACAAACACUCUGGAAAGGAGAUAUGAUCAAAAGAAAUGCAAUUGAAAAAACCCCCCAAAAAUGGAAAAUUGGGAGAUUUUGUGACUACAAGAAAGUGGUCUGGCUGGAAAUGAGGUGCAGUGCAAAGGACCAAAAGGGACUUAAACUAACCUCACAGCUGAUGGAAAAGCCAGGAAAAAAUCAAGGAGGCAGACACAACUUGGAGGGGAAGAUGUGGGAGAAAUGGAAAUGAUACUUAAAAAAAAAAAAAAAAAUCACCAAAGUGCAAGACAUCAAAAGGCAUGGCAUUCUAUCCAGUGCAGGGAGGUGCACGACAUAGACCAAGGCUUGCCAAAACACAUCCCUGCUGAAGGCCAAAAAAGAAAAGAAGGGCAUACAAACAUUCUGGACUACAGAUAUCCUCAAAGGAAAUGAAUUUGAAGGAGAAAAAAAAAAAAUUUGGGAAAUUUUGUGACUACAAAAAGUGCUCUGUGCAGAAAUGAGAUGCAGUGCAAAGGACCAAAGGAGGCCAAAACAAUCUUCUCAGCUGUUGCAAAAGAAAGGAAAAAGUCAAGGAGGCAGAGAAAACUUGGAGUGGAACAUAUGAGAGAAAUGGAAAUGAUACUUAAAAAAAAAAAAAAAAAAAAUCCACCAAAGUGCAAGCCAUCAAAAGGCAUGGCAUUCUAUCCAGUGCAGGGACAUGCUUGAUAUACAGCAAGGCUUGCCAAAAGACAUCCCUGCUGAAGGCCAAAAAAGAAAAGAAGGGCAUACAAACAUUCUGGACUACAAAUAUCUUUAAAUGAAAUGGAUGUGAAGGAAAAAAAAAAUUUUGGGAAAUUUUGUGACUAAAAGAAAGUGGUCUGGAUGGAAAUGAGGUGCAGUGCAAAGGACCAAAAGAGGCCAAAACAAUCUUCUCAGCUGUUGCAAAAGCUAGUAAAAAAUCAAGGAGGCAGACACAACUUGGAGGGGAAGAUAUGAGAGAAAUGGAAAUGAUACUUUAAAAAAAAAAAAAAAUCCACCAAAGUGCAAGCCAUCAAAAGGCAUGGCAUUCUAUCCAGUGCAGGGACAUGCUUGAUAUACAGCAAGGCUUGCCAAAAGACAUCCCUGCUGAAGGCCAAAAAAGAAAAGAAGGGCAUACAAACAUUCUGGACUACAAAUAUCUUUAAAUGAAAUGGAUGUGAAGGAAAAAAAAAAUUUGGGAAAUUUUGUGACUACAAAAAGUGCUCUGUGCAGAAAUGAGAUGCUGUGCAAAGGACCAAAAGAGGACAAAACAAUCCUCACAGCUGAUGGAAAAGCCAGGAAAAAAUCAAGGAGGCAGACACAACUUGGUGGGGAAGAUAUGGGAGAAGUGGAAAGGAUACUUAAAAAGAAUAAAAAGAAAAAAAAGGAAAUGUUCUUCAAAGUGAAACCCAUCGUAAGGCAUGGCAUGCCAUCAAGUGCAGGGACUUGCACCAAAGCUUGCCCAAUUGAUCCCCAUUGAAAUCGCAAG
This is a long non-coding RNA of Serinus canaria (Common canary), 4953 nucleotides long. RefSeq lists it as uncharacterized. The transcript is spliced from 3 exons. Lineage: Eukaryota; Metazoa; Chordata; Aves; Passeriformes; Fringillidae. The record is from RefSeq and is a predicted model, not a curated record.